GAAGUUACCAAGAAGCUUAAAUCUUCAAUAUCAAUCAAAAACCGUGAUAAUCAACCUCCAAAGUUAUUCAUUAAGUUAUAUCAAAAUAGUAAUAAUAAAUAAAUAUGUAAGCAGUUACAUUACAUUCAUGAUUUUUUACAAGUUAAAUUAUCACAAUCAUUGCCCAGACCACUUAUAAAUCACAUCUUCAAGUACAGAUCCAUCUGAAAGUACAACAAAUAUUAGCAAAAAUAAUAUCGAACAGCAAAUGAAUUAACAAAAUGGUAAAGAAAACUCAGUUAAAAGUGAUAAAUAUCACUUCAUCUUUCGAAGAAUUCCCAGAUCUAGCAUGAAAAACAAUUUUAGAUGAAAACUAUGCUUAUGGCCAAGUAAAUUAAUAGAUAAUGCAUAACUUUAGAAAUAUUACAUUAAAAAUACCUCACCAACAAAGAUCUCACAGAUCUGGUGUAGAUCAAAAUUAUACGAACAACAUACUAUGCAGCAAACAGUAAAUUAUUCGAUAGAAAUUAAAUUAAAAUACUGGAUAUUAUUUGAAACUACUUUCUUAAAUUAAAAAAAAUGGAUAUAAGAAAUAAAGGUGUAGAGCUCCCUUCAAUCCAAAGAAAGAUGACACCAGAAAGUGAUAAAGCUCCCUGGAUAUGGAAGCCACAAAACUACCACAUAACACACAAAAAUGGGUAGAAUUGAGGGAUCCAUAGCUAAGCAGCUCUAUCAACAUAGCAACAUCCAUAUUUGAACUAAAAGAAGCUCCACCCCUCAAAAAACCCUAACACCAAAAACUUCAACUUCAUUCAAAUAUAAAAGAAAAAAACUAUGAAAAAUAAGUGAAUCUAGUCAAAAUAAGCAAAAGUAGAAAAAGAUAAUGAGCUGCAAAAAAAUCUAGAGACUAGAUCUUGUUUUUCAGAUCUAUAAGGGAGUACCUUCUUCAAAUAGAUAAAAAGAAAAAAGAAAAGACCAGAGAGAAACUAACUCAACACCGAAAGAUGAGAACCCUAUCUUGGAAAGGCAUCCUUUAGUUCUCUUAAAUAAAGCAACUUGGACUGAAACGCAUCCCACUUUGCCACUUCAAUUACACUUUUUAUUUUUAAAUGAACUAAUAAAAAACCAAACCCUAUCUUGGAAAGGCAUCCUUUAGUUCUCUUAAAUAAAGCAACUUGGACUGAAACGCAUCCCACUUUGCCACUUCAAUUACACUUUUUAUUUUUAAAUGAACUAAUAAAAAACCCGUCUUUUUCUAUGGAAUAUAGUUUUGGAUUCUUAGUUAUUUGAAUACUAUUAUAAAAAUUGAAAAUCGACUAAAAAGAUCUUAUAAAUAAUAGUAAAUUUAAUUUGGAAGGACAAUUAAGAUAAAAAAACAAUAUUAAAAACAAUAUAAUUAAAAAUAAAAUUUAUUUUAGAUAAAUAAAUUAUUUAGUUUUUUUAAUAAAUUUUUAAAAUUUAAUUCAUUCCCUUUUAGUUUUCGCACUAUAUACUUGCGGUUUCAUUGGAGUGGAAGGUUACAAAAGAGAUACAACACAUCUAAUUUUAUUGAUCUUGAAAAUUUAAGGAUUUUUGGAUGUAUAUGUUAUGUGGAUAUAUCUAGUGAAGAUUUAUACAAAAUAAGUC
Molecule: long non-coding RNA, 1605 nt
Filed under: Lathyrus oleraceus (garden pea)
Lineage: Eukaryota; Viridiplantae; Streptophyta; Magnoliopsida; Fabales; Fabaceae
Description: Pisum sativum (pea) long non-coding RNA (PSAT_LNC035923)
Source: RNAcentral